Molecule: ribosomal RNA, 468 nt
Filed under: uncultured bacterium
Lineage: Bacteria
Description: partial 16S ribosomal RNA
Rfam family: Bacterial small subunit ribosomal RNA
Source: RNAcentral
GACGAACGCUGGCGGCGUGCUUAACACAUGCAAGUCGAACGGAAAGGCCCUGCUUUUGUGGGGUGCUCGAGUGGCGAACGGGUGAGUAACACGUGAGUAACCUGCCCUUGACUUUGGGAUAACUUCAGGAAACUGGGGCUAAUACCGGAUAGGAGCUCCUGCUGCAUGGUGGGGGUUGGAAAGUUUCGGCGGCUGGGGAUGGACUCGCGGCUUAUCAGCUUGUUGGUGGGGUAGCGGCUUACCAAGGCUUUGACGGGUAGCCGGCCUGAGAGGGUGACCGGCCACAUUGGGACUGAGAUACGGCCCAGACUCCUACGGGAGGCAGCAGUGGGGAAUAUUGCACAAUGGGCGGAAGCCUGAUGCAGCAACGCCGCGUGCGGGAUGACGGCCUUCGGGUUGUAAACCGCUUUCGCCUGUGACGAAGCGUGAGUGACGGUAAUGGGUAAAGAAGCACCGGCUAACUACGUG